UCUAAGAAGAUAAGGGAGGGACGUUUACGUUGGUAUGGACAUGUUCGGCGUAAAUGUAACUCAGCACCGGUUAGGAGAGUAGAACACAUAUCGGUUCGGGGUAAGAGAAAGAGGGGUCGGCCUCGUCGGACAUGGGCUGAUCAAUUAAGUUUGGACAUGGGAGCCUUAAAUCUCACGGGUGAUAUGACAUUAGACAAGAAUGAUUGGAGACGGCGUAUUAGAGUGGUUGAGACUAGGUCUCGUGGCUCACAGAGAUUAUGAGGGUUAUGGUGUUCAGUUUUAAGGGAGGAUUCAGCUCAGUUAUUACCAGAUGCAUUCGCGCCAAUCUAAAAUGUUUGGGUAAGUCCCAUGUGAAGAAGGCCAUGGGCUAAGGUAUUAUAUUCUUAUUAUAGCACACACUAGUUUAUUUGUUGUGCACUAAGCCGGGGGUCUUCACGGAAACAGCCUCUCUAUUUUAAGGGUAGGGGCAAGGCUGCGUACAUCUUAC
This 487-nucleotide long non-coding RNA is filed under the name Daucus carota (carrot). RNAcentral describes it as "long non-coding RNA (DCAR_LNC003473)". The record is from RNAcentral. Lineage: Eukaryota; Viridiplantae; Streptophyta; Magnoliopsida; Apiales; Apiaceae.